This 453-nucleotide ribosomal RNA is filed under the name uncultured bacterium. RNAcentral describes it as "bacterial SSU rRNA". It matches the Rfam family "Bacterial small subunit ribosomal RNA", at positions 28 to 479 of the family's 1533-position model. The record is from RNAcentral.
GAUGAACGCUGGCGGCGUGCUUAACACAUGCAAGUCGAACGAAGCACUUUAUUUGAUUUCCUUCGGGAUUGAUUAUUUUGUGACUGAGUGGCGGACGGGUGAGUAACGCGUGGGUAACCUGCCUUGUACAGGGGGAUAACAGUUGGAAACGGCUGCUAAUACCGCAUAAGCGCACAGCAUCGCAUGAUGCAGUGUGAAAAACUCCGGUGGUAUAAGAUGGACCCGCGUUGGAUUAGCUAGUUGGUGAGGUAACGGCCCACCAAGGCGACGAUCCAUAGCCGACCUGAGAGGGUGACCGGCCACAUUGGGACUGAGACACGGCCCAAACUCCUACGGGAGGCAGCAGUGGGGAAUAUUGCACAAUGGGCGAAAGCCUGAUGCAGCGACGCCGCGUGAGCGAAGAAGUAUUUCGGUAUGUAAAGCUCUAUCAGCAGGGAAGAUAAUGACGGUACC